CCGUGCUAGACGGGGAGCUAGCGGUGCCCUGAACCCGCAAUCCGCUAUAGCGGGGUUGAAUUCCCGCUCGAGGUCUUGGUACCGCAGGGACUGCCCUCGAUAAGUAGCGUUGAUGACCUGGCCCUGCGCGGCGAAGCGCUACGAACCCCGUCAGGUCCGGAAGGAAGCAGCGGUAAGUAGUUAGUUUCGGGUGCCGCAGGUCAACCUGGUUGGAGCUGGCUGUCGGGAGCAAGCCUACGGGCCGGAUCGACAGCGGGUGCACGG
This 264-nucleotide signal recognition particle RNA is filed under the name Chloroflexota bacterium. RNAcentral's name for it is "signal recognition particle sRNA large type". It matches the Rfam family "Bacterial large signal recognition particle RNA". Rfam says of the family: The signal recognition particle (SRP) is a universally conserved ribonucleoprotein involved in the co-translational targeting of proteins to membranes. The record is from RNAcentral. Lineage: Bacteria; Bacillati; Chloroflexota.